ACGAACGCUGGCGGCGUGCUUAACACAUGCAAGUCGAACGGAAAGGCCCUGCUUUUGUGGGGUGCUCGAGUGGCGAACGGGUGAGUAACACGUGAGUAACCUGCCCUUGACUUUGGGAUAACUUCAGGAAACUGGGGCUAAUACCGGAUAGGAGCUCCUGCUGCAUGGUGGGGGUUGGAAAGUUUCGGCGGUUGGGGAUGGACUCGCGGCUUAUCAGCUUGUUGGUGGGGUAGUGGCUUACCAAGGCUUUGACGGGUAGCCGGCCUGAGAGGGUGACCGGCCACAUUGGGACUGAGAUACGGCCCAGACUCCUACGGGAGGCAGCAGUGGGGAAUAUUGCACAAUGGGCGGAAGCCUGAUGCAGCAACGCCGCGUGCGGGAUGACGGCCUUCGGGUUGUAAACCGCUUUCGCCUGUGACGAAGCGUGAGUGACGGUAAUGGGUAAAGAAGCACCGGCUAACUACGUUCCAGCAGCCGCGGUGAUACGUAGGGUGCGAGCGUUGUCCGGAUUUAUUGGGCGUAAAGGGCUCGUAGGUGGUUGAUCGCGUCGGAAGUGUAAUCUUGGGGCUUAACCCUGAGCGUGCUUUCGAUACGGGUUGACUUGAGGAAGGUAGGGGAGAAUGGAAUUCCUGGUGGGGCGGUGGAAUGCGCAGAUAUCAGGAGGAACACCAGUGGCGAAGGCGGUUCUCUGGGCCUUUCCUGACGCUGAGGAGCGAAAGCGUGGGGAGCGAACAGGCUUAGAUACCCUGGUAGUCCACGCUGUAAACGGUGGGUACUAGGUGUGGGGUCCAUUCCACGGGUUCCGUGCCGUAGCUAACGCUUUAAGUACCCCGCCUGGGGAGUACGGCCGCAAGGCUAAAACUCAAAGGAAUUGACGGGGCCCCGCACAAGCGGCGGAGCAUGCGGAUUAAUUCGAUGCAACGCGUAGAACCUUACCUGGGUUUGACAUGGAUCGGGAGCGCUCAGAGAUGGGUGUGCCUCUUUUGGGGUCGGUUCACAGGUGGUGCAUGGCUGUCGUCAGCUCGUGUCGUGAGAUGUUGGGUUAAGUCCCGCAACGAGCGCAACCCUUGUUCACUGUUGCCAGCACGUUAUGGUGGGGACUCAGUGGAGACCGCCGGGGUCAACUCGGAGGAAGGUGGGGAUGACGUCAAGUCAUCAUGCCCCUUAUGUCCAGGGCUUCACGCAUGCUACAAUGGCUGGUACAGAGAGUGGCGAGCCUGUGAGGGUGAGCGAAUCUCGGAAAGCCGGUCUCAGUUCGGAUUGGGGUCUGCAACUCGACCUCAUGAAGUCGGAGUCGCUAGUAAUCGCAGAUCAGCAACGCUGCGGUGAAUACGUUCCCGGGGCUUGUACACACCGCCCGUCAAGUCAUGAAAGUUGGUAACACCCGAAGCCGGUGGCCUAACCGUUGUGGGGGAGCCGUCGAAGGUGGGACUGGUGAUUAGG
This 1443-nucleotide ribosomal RNA is filed under the name uncultured organism. RNAcentral describes it as "16S ribosomal RNA". It matches the Rfam family "Bacterial small subunit ribosomal RNA". The record is from RNAcentral.